RNAcentral lists this ribosomal RNA (261 nucleotides) under uncultured prokaryote. RNAcentral's name for it is "partial 16S ribosomal RNA". It matches the Rfam family "Bacterial small subunit ribosomal RNA", at positions 524 to 784 of the family's 1533-position model. The record is from RNAcentral.
UACGUAGGGGGCAAGCGUUAUCCGGAUUUACUGGGUGUAAAGGGAGCGCAGACGGAACUGCAAGUCUGAUGUGAAAGCCAGGGGCUCAACCGCGGGACUGCAUCGGAUACUGUGGAUCUGGAGUGCCGGAGGGGCAAGCGGAAUUCCUGGUGUAGCGGUGAAAUGCGUAGAUAUCAGGAGGAACACCGGCGGCGAAGGCGGCUUGCUGGACGGCAACUGACGUUGAGGCUCGAAAGCGUGGGGAGCAAACAGGAUUAGAUA